GCUACCUAUUUGACGUUACCUACAGAAGAAGCACCGGCUAACUCCGUGCCAGCAGCCGCGGUAAUACGGAGGGUGCGAGCGUUAAUCGGAAUUACUGGGCGUAAAGCGCAUGCAGGCGGCCUGUUAAGUCAGAUGUGAAAGCCCGGGGCUUAACCUCGGAAUUGCAUUUGAAACUGGCAGGCUAGAGUCUUGUAGAGGGGGUAGAAUUUCAGGUGUAGCGGUGAAAUGCGUAGAGAUCUGAAGGAAUACCAGUGGCGAAGGCGGCCCCCUGGACAAAGACUGACGCUCAGACUGCGAAAGCGUGGGGAGCCAAACAGGAUUAGAUACCCCUGGUAG
Molecule: ribosomal RNA, 336 nt
Filed under: uncultured bacterium
Lineage: Bacteria
Description: bacterial SSU rRNA
Rfam family: Bacterial small subunit ribosomal RNA
Source: RNAcentral